AACGGUCUAUACCUGCGGUACCUGCGGAAGGAUCAUUAUUGAAAACUUAACCCAUCAGGAGAGAUGGGGGGAAGACCUGUUUCUUCUUCCUGUCUUUUCUGAUCAAACAAACAUACGUGACUAGCAAAAAAACCAGAGGAUUUGGGGGGCUCAGACAACAAAAGUUCUUGGCUGAUAAGUAGCUUGCUGAUUUGGAGUUACAACAGUUCAAUACAACUUUUAACAAUGGAUCUCUAGAUC
Molecule: unclassified non-coding RNA, 240 nt
Filed under: soil metagenome
Description: partial contains 5.8S ribosomal RNA, internal transcribed spacer 2, and large subunit ribosomal RNA
Source: RNAcentral